CUGAUUCAAGGUGGGAGUAAACAAGCAUAAAGAGAAGAAGUAGUGUCAGUCUCUUUCCCCUAAUGUGCUCUGUUCUUUGCCAUUAAAUCCAUCUCUCUCUCCCCAGGCCCUGUAGCCUCUAGCUGGGAGGUCCAGACUGCAUGUGAGGUGGUUGAGGAAGAGUCCGGCUCGCCUUCGUUGCUGUGAGGAUAGGGAUCGAACUCAGGACCUUGCAUUUGUGAGGCAGGUGCCAGAACCACUGAGCUAAAUCCCCGGCCCAACUUUCCUUUUAAAAGGACUCUGGCUCUCAUGGUGCCCCCCACAUAGCAGGAAGAAGAGACAGAGGUGGGAGCUCAGGAGGCUGUUCUCACACUCCAGGAAAGACCCAGGGCUGUGGAAUCGACAAGACCCGUAGCCGCAGGAUGCUGAGUAG
RNAcentral lists this long non-coding RNA (412 nucleotides) under Heterocephalus glaber (naked mole-rat). Its description in RNAcentral is "lncRNA (ENSHGLG00100038717.1)". The record is from RNAcentral. Lineage: Eukaryota; Metazoa; Chordata; Mammalia; Rodentia; Bathyergidae.